This 6079-nucleotide long non-coding RNA is filed under the name Olea europaea subsp. europaea. Lineage: Eukaryota; Viridiplantae; Streptophyta; Magnoliopsida; Lamiales; Oleaceae. The record is from RNAcentral.
GAUUUUUCUCUAAAUUGCCACCGCCCACCAAUCUACCUCUACGGCUCUACUCGUCUACCACCACUAUCAUAGCAGCCAGCAUACGCUACAGAUGGCACCGUUAGGUCUGCCACCGCCCACCGGUCAGAGUCGAGAGGAGCAGGCGAGCAGCACUCCAGUGCAGCAGGUAGCCCGCACUCCGUAGCAAGAAUGCAAGAUUCUUUUAGUUAUUUCCCAUUUUUAUUAUCGUUUCUAAAUAAAUAAAUUGUGCUAUCUGCAACUUUCCAUCCCUUUUCGUUUAUCCUCUGAGAUUUUAGUGUUAGACUUUAUUGUUUGUUUUCUUGAUGGCUAUUGGCUGCCUGCAUUUUGAAUGACUAUUGAAGGUUUACACUUUUUUGUAUUUUCAAAAUUUAUCUCAUAACUGAUACGGAUUAUGUUGAGGAAAGUAUAUUCUAUAUUUGUUUAUGUGUAACGUUGGGCUCUUUUCUGUGCUUAUAGGCUAUAGCUACUGGCUUCAAAAAAAUAAGUUAUGUUAGCUAUAGGUUAACAUUUCACCUUUGUUUUGAUUUUGUUCUUUUCUUCUAAUAAAACUUCCCUCCAAGUGCCUUAGGUAUUUUUCCCCCAGCAAUUUAACGUAUAGUAUAGACAACAGAGACUUCAUUAACCUUAUUUUAUCAGAUAUUCACACAUAGUACUUAGUUUCAUUUUCUGAUUUGCUAGAUGAAAAAUAUUGUAAGCUUCUGAAGAUUUAAUGAAAUUGGUGAUCUACCUAGAUGAUUGUGAGAACUAAGUACUGGAGUAGUACAUGGAUGGAAAUGACAUGCACAUGAACAAGAUUGGGUAAAUUGAUUUAGGCAUUUAACUUAGAAUGUUAUUAGAUUUACCACUGCUGCUAUAGCCCGUCGUAGUCCUAUCAUGUUAAGGGUAUUUUGAUCACUUUCAAGUGUUAAAAUUCAUUGAAGAAGGCAUCAAAAAUGUAUUCCCAACAUUGACAAAAAGGACAAUCAACCUAAUUUCUGAAAUUGAAUUUGGACUAUUUCACAGAAUUUUAGUAUUUGGUAUUAAGAUGGGCGAAAAAUUGGUGGUCUUUCAUUUGUGUCGUAUCUAAUAAAUAUUAAUUUUGUUGCUUUUAAUACUUAAGCAUUUAUUUGUUUUUAACUUGUUUGAGUAUUCAAAUCGACAUAAAUGGCCAACCUACCAAGUACCAACUAUAGAUGUAGCAACUUUGCUUGAUUUUUUUAAUACAUUGCUAUCUCACUCUUGGGGAUUUUUUUGUUGAAUUGAUGAUUUUUUAAUCAAUUGUAAUUGAAAAUUAAAUUGGGGCAUUUUACAGAUUAUGGAACGAUUUUUUCAACCGAAACGAAAGUCUAUACCUAGUUCUCCUAGUUCUAGUUGUGCUUAUAGUUUCGCCACUGCUUCUAGCCGAGCACUCGAGUUGUUCAACAGCACAAAGAAGUCUCGGGCUCAAUUCAAUUUGGAUGAUCUUGUAUCUGAUCCAGGAAAACGCCUCCCCAUCGAGUCAUAUGAUCCUAAUAUUAGAGAUGAUGUUAGGAUGACAUAUUUGUAAAAAGGUCCCUGUCAACCACAUGGACAUGACUUUCCAAGAAGACGAAUAGGAAAUGAUAAUAGGUGUUUUCGAAAAGAAUGAUUUUCUGAAUUUUAUUGGUUGGAGUACAAUAUAGAAAAUGAUGUGGUUUAUUGUUUGUAUCGCUACUUAUUCAAACCUGAUAGAGUAGGUGGAUAUAUUUUCACUAAGACCGGCUUUAGGGAUUGGAAGCACAAAAGUACAUUGAAAGAUCAUGUCGGGCUCGUUGAUAGUGCUCAUAAUCAAGUUUCUGCAAAGUGUACCAAUUUGAUGAAUCAAAAGCAAAGUAUCUCCCAUGUUAUUUCUAGUCAAAGUAGUAGUCAACAAAAAAAUUAUAAGACAAUGUUUACUGCCGUGCUAGAUUGUAUUAGAUUUCUCUUGAUGCAAGAAUUGCUAUCUCGUGGUCAUGAUGAAUUGAAAGAGUCUCUUAAUAAAGAAAAUCUAAUUGAGCUACUAAAUUGGUAUGCAGCUCGUCGUAAGAAAAUUAAUGAAGUACUAUUUAAUAAUGCUCUUGGAAAUGACCAAAUGACUUCACCAAGCAUCCAUAAGGAUUUGGUUAAUUGUUGUGAAGUAGAGACGACAAUGUCUAUGAUCAAUGAGAUGGACGAUUCUUUGUUUUCAAUUUUGGUUGAUGAGUCUCGUGACAAUUCUAUAAAAGAACAAAUGACAGUUGUUUUGAGAUUUGUUGACAAAAGUGUGCAGGUGAAGGAGCGUUUGUUGGGCAUUUGCCACAUCGCCGAUACUUGUGCCCAAUCACUCAAGGAUGUCGUUGAUGCAAUAUUUUCUACACAUGGAUUGAGCAUAUCUAGCCUGAGAGGUCAAGGUUAUGAUGGAGCAAGCAAUAUAUCAGGUGAGUUCAAUGACUUAAAAGCUUUAAUUUUAAGAGAGAGCACAUGUGCUAUGUAUAUUCAUUGCUUUGCUCACCAGCUUCAGUUGACAGUUGUUUUUGUGGCACAUAGGAAUGUUAUGCUUAGUGAUUUAUUUAACAUGCUUGCUAUUAUUGUGAAUUUGGUUGGUGCAUCAUGUAAACGUGUAGAUACUUUUCAAACAAGUUAUCAUUUUGAAAUUCUGGAGAUGCUUAAUAUCGAGGAACUUUCUAGUGGAACUAGUCAGUUUCAAGAAAUGAGUUUGGCACGCCCAGGUGUUACUAGAUGGGGCUCACAUCUAAAGACAGUUACUCACUUUAUUAUUAUGUUUAAUGCGAUCAUAGAUGAUCUUGAGAAUAUAUCAGAAGACAACAUAAGUUUACAGCAAAAAUCAAUGGCCAUAAGACAAAUGAACACUAUGCAAGAUUUUCAAUUUGUGUUCAGUCUCCAUUUUAUGUUUGAAAUUCUUGUAAUUACAGACAACCUUUCACAAGCCUUACAGAAAAAGGAUCAGGAUAUUCCGAAUGUUAUGAGAUUAUUGAAGUUGUGUAAGUACGCAUUGCAGAACAUGAGAGACAAUAGUUGGGAUACUUUGUUGAGUAAGGUAAUUGAGUUUUGUGUUGAUAGACAUAUUUUAGUGCCCAAUAUGGGUAAUAUUGUAGUAUUGAAAGGUCGACCUAGGCGUGCAAAUCAGCAGGUGACUUAUUAUCAUUGCUUUUAUGUUGAUUUGUAUUGUUAUGUGAUAGAUUCAAUCUUGCAAGAGUUGAAUGAUCGUUUUCGAGAAACAACUACUGAGCUUUUUACUUGCAUUUCGUGUUUAAAUCCAAGAGAUUCAUUUGCAGCUUUUGAUGUAUGUAAAUUGGUACGACUUGCUCAGUUAUAUCAUAUGGAUUUCAAUAGUGAAGAACUUUUAUUACUUAGACCUCAACUUGACAAAUUUCUUAUGCUUGUAAGAAUGGAUGAAGCUUUUUUCAACCUCAAAAGCAUAUCUUGUGUAGCUCAGAAGUUGGUUGAAACUGAAAAUUCUUGUUAUUUUCCAUUGGUUUAUAGGCUGAUCACAUUAGUUUUGAUAUUACCUGUAGCAACUGCAAGUGUUGAAAGGGUAUUCUCUGCUAUGAAUCUAAUCAAGAAUGAUCUGCGCAACAAAAUGGGAGAUGAAUUGUUGAAUGACAAUUUGGUAGUUUUCAUGGAGAAAGGUCUUUUUAUGAAACUUGAGAAUGAGCCAAUAUUGCAAUGUUUUCAAAAUAUACGACAUUGUAGAAUUCAGUUGUCUAAACUUACAAUUACAUAGUAAGGUUGUAUUGUAUGUUUUUUUAGCAUUUUGGGUUGUAUUGAACUAUAUUUUCAUAUGUAUAUAUUUUCUAGAUUUUAGUGUAUUUAUAUAUAUAUUGAAUAAUUUUUAAUAUUAUUUAAUCUAAUUUUAAUAAACAAUUGGCCGCCGAUCGGAUCGGGCUUUUACGAUCGUUGAUCGUCGAUGGUCAAUGGUCAAAGUCAACCUCCGCCCUAGCUAAACGUUGAUGCUAGAUUCGCCACUGAAUGACAUCAUCGAAAAUUGACGGAACGUGAUUAUUUUCUGAAGUGAGAAUGCAGUGGCCAUGUUGUUUCUUCCAAAUUCCUUCGGUUUGCAUGUUUAUCUCUUGAUUUUCAUCCCAAUUCAGCUGCCACAUUUUUCUCUUAUUGCCUGUGUGUCUCUCCCCAGCCGUCUUCUUUAAUUUUCUAACUCGUGCCUGUGUAUAUGUAUGUGCUUCCCAAGUUGCCAAUGUCCGUAUAUCUCAUAUAAUUAAGCAACAGGCACCUUAAUUCUCCUCAAGUUCAGAUGCCUUUUUUUGUUUAUAUUUUUAUCUUCCAUAGCCGUAAUUGUAUGUAUAUCUCUUUUCUCUAAGCAGCUGCGCAAUAUGGGUUAGUAUAUUCAAUUCCUCCUGUCACCGUUUUUCUCUAUAGGUUUAAUCUCCAAUUUUCCUCCCCAGGCAGCCGUGUAUUGAUGCGUGUAUAUAUACAUAAUUAAAGUGGCAGUUUUUUUUUUUUUUCUCCAAAUCAGCCCUCCGUUUCUUUCUUAGUUGGUGUGUAAAUCCCUCCAAAUUGUUGUUGGACUUCCAUUAAAACUUCACUUAAUUAUGUAAUUUGAUUCUAGUCACAAGUCUGCUUGAGGCCCAAUUAUUUCUCCACGAAUUUUCUCUCCAGCUGCCCAUGUUUUUGUCUCCAAUUUGAAGUCAAAUUUCACCAAACAAAAUAAUUUGAACCCAAUUGGUUAAUGGAUUUGAAUUCAAACUUAACUCCAAAAGUUAGACCCAUUUAAUUUAUUAUUUUCUUCAAGUCCUCCACUUUCUAAGUGUGAAAUUUGAUCACCAAACUUUGCAUUAGAUGGCCGAUUAAUCCUUUAUCCUUUUCCAAAUGCCCCAAACGAGUCAAUCACUAAAAACACAAUGAAAACUAACCCAAGUUAAAUAGAAAUUAAUAAUUUGACGACUUAAAAGUUUAAUAAUGUAGCAUAAAUAAAUACACAAAUUGCACUUAUCAACCACCAUGAACGCAUGGGGACAUGAUGUUUAAAGAUGGUUCCUUGUGCAAAAUAGUGUCAAUGAAGUUAAUAAGUACUUUGGAUGUAGAACCAACUUUUGACGAACUUGAGAAAUUUAGGCAUCCUGUUGAAAUGGGGGAUGGUGAUGCAUCUAAUCUAUCAACUCUGUUUCAAAUUAGAAACAAAAGUUAUUUCAAGAAUGGAGAUAGAGUUAUGGUUUUCACUGGCGAAAUUAAAAAUUGAAAGGUAGGGUAGAGAAAAUAGAGGGAGAUGAAGUGCAUAUAAAACCCGAUAAAGGGGGUCUUCCGGUAAGUGAAAAUUACACAUAUUCUUAUGUGUUAUUUUGAUGGAGUUUCUACUCUUAAUUAAGAAACUUAAUUCUCUCUCUUGUUAAUUUACAUUUUGAUUCGUAGGAAACUCUAGCUUUUAGCCACGGAGUGCUUUCCAAGUAUUUUAAACCUGGAAAUCACUUCAAAGUUGUAUCUGGAGCUUCAGAGGGCACAACUAGAAUUGUGGUUUCAGUGGAGGGGCACGUUGUUAGUAUGGGGUCGGAUACAACCAAGGACAUUGUAUAUCUAUAAUUCUUUUCAAGACAUUCAUGUUAACUAAAUUCAAUGAUAUCUUAUCUUUUUAACAUUUUUGGCUCCUGACAUUUUUCGACAGUGUUGUAGAAAGCUCUGAGGUAGGGUAUCACACGAAUUGGAGAUUGUGAGCUUCAUGAUCUUGUUUUAAUGGUGUAAGAUUUUCUUCAUGUGGGCAAUUUAUGAUCAUCCUACAAUCGUACUUGUUAUUUUAAUUGAUUAAUAUUUACUUAGGUAAGCUAUUAUCAAUUUUCUUGGUGUAGUGAUAAUAGCUUUGGGGUGAUUGUAAGUGUAGAGAAUGAAGCUUUUCAGGUGAGCAGCCUAAAAUUAGAAGGCUAAAGUGAGUGCGCGAAAUUUUGAACUUGUUUUUUCACUAAUUAGGUCCUUAAGGGGGGUGCCAGAGAGAUCGAAUCUUGAACUUGUGAUGCUAAGAGAGAUCAAAUAUAAGAUUGACAAGAAACAUUCCGCAAAAGAUUGGUACAACAACAUGUUAUGAGUGAAUGAUGUAGUGAAAAUUCUAGAUGAUCCAUUCAAGGUUUGUACUCAACUC